GGCUUCAAGUGGACUUUCCGUAGAGGCCAAAUAUUUUAUGAGGCUACGAGCAAUUGAAAAGAACUUCUUAUCGUGAAGCUCAGUUGCAGCAAUCAGCUACCCACACUUUGGUAAGAGAUUCGAUCUCUAUAGCUUAGAUCUACCCAUGAUGGUCUAGAUGUGAUCUAGACUAUAGCAGAUGAUGGGAUCUCCUACCUGC
Molecule: long non-coding RNA, 199 nt
Filed under: Elaeis guineensis (African oil palm)
Lineage: Eukaryota; Viridiplantae; Streptophyta; Magnoliopsida; Arecales; Arecaceae
Description: long non-coding RNA (EGUI_LNC041068)
Source: RNAcentral